GAGAUAACUGACUUCGGUUCCGACUGGGGUUAGUUGAUACUCGAUACUACACUCUUUGAGAUCGGACUUUAGGGAAGCUUCGGUCAACCACUUGGUGUUGCACUGAAGUGGACUCAAAGGAAGGUCGAUGAUUUGAGAUCCUUCUAGAACCCGGUACUAUUCUAGGACAGGUUGAACCAACCAAACUUCAGUGGGGAAGGGUACUUACCUAUGGAACUCAUGCAAGCCUUAAAGCUUAGGAAUGAUUGUUGUGUGACUUGCUUGUGC
Molecule: long non-coding RNA, 267 nt
Filed under: Lathyrus oleraceus (garden pea)
Lineage: Eukaryota; Viridiplantae; Streptophyta; Magnoliopsida; Fabales; Fabaceae
Description: Pisum sativum (pea) long non-coding RNA (PSAT_LNC003283)
Source: RNAcentral